This 497-nucleotide ribosomal RNA is filed under the name uncultured bacterium. RNAcentral's name for it is "partial 16S ribosomal RNA". It matches the Rfam family "Bacterial small subunit ribosomal RNA", at positions 28 to 507 of the family's 1533-position model. The record is from RNAcentral.
GAUGAACGCUGGCGGCGUGCCUAAUACAUGCAAGUCGAGCGAACACACGCGUACCUUUCUCCUCUGACGUUAUCCGCGGACGUGUUACUAACACGUGUGUAACCUACCUAUAAGUCUCGUAUCACUUCGUGUAACCGUAUCUCAUACCGUCUAAUAUAUUGAACCGCAUGGUUCAAUACUUUACGACGGUUUUGCUGUCACUUAUAGAUUGAUCCAGGCCGCAUUAGGUAGUUUGUAAGGUAACGGCUUACCAAGGCUACGAUGCGUAGCGGACCUGAGAGGGUGAUCGGCCACACCGGAACUGAGACACGGUCCAGACUCCUACGGGAGGCAGCAGUAGGGAAUCUUGGGCAAUGGGCGAAAGCUUGACGGAGCAAGGCCGCGUGAGGGAUGAAGGUCUUCGGAUUGUAAAACGCUGUUAUUAGGAAAGAAAAAAUGUGUAAGAAAAUAGGAAGGUCAUGACGGUACCGAAAGAGAAAGCAACGGCUAACUACGUG